This 1151-nucleotide long non-coding RNA is filed under the name Olea europaea subsp. europaea. Lineage: Eukaryota; Viridiplantae; Streptophyta; Magnoliopsida; Lamiales; Oleaceae. The record is from RNAcentral.
UAUCAAACAAUAUUAUAUUAAUAAGAUCUUCGCGCAUAAUGCACAUAAACAUUAGCCUUUUGAGAAGCAAAGCAAUCAUACGCCUAGUACGCAAAUUGUAGACAAGAAACCUCAACGUGAAAAAUCCGCCAUAGCCAUCAAAGAACUUGUUCUUUACAACAGAGAUGCAUUCGCGGGCCUCGUAUUAAUCGGACGAACUAUGAAAUCUUUAUUGUCAAUGGCUUCUAUUUCUUCUCUACAAGUUAUUUGCUCUCUCAUCAAGGCGAUCAAGAGCCCUUUAGUCACAAACUUGAAUCAUGCGAUGGAAUUUCAAACAUUGUUGACUUAUUGCAAUAUUCUGAGGAUUCUGAAAUUGGAUUAAUGGCAUUCAACUGCGUAUUUGAAAUCGGGUAUUUUGGAAGAAAAAGAGUCUUUUUAAGCAAUGACGAAUGCAGGUUUGAUCAAGAAACUUGUGGAAUUGCAGAGGUUGAGAAGUAAUCAAUUUGCAGGAUGUGUAGUGAAAUUCACAAUCCAAUUCAAGCAAAAAGGCCAAUGUAUGAAUUGAGCUAAAAAAAAAAGGCAAUUCUGGGUUCAUCUGUCGGGUCCUCUAGAAAGAUGGAUGGAUAUAGUCGUUGACUUCAUUAGGGCCACGCGGACAACAGUAGUCUCGCCUAAUCGAAAGAGACGCAUCCAGUAAUUCCAAAUUUGACGUUUAAUUCAUAAAGAAAUUAAUAAACGUGUCAGUUCUUCAAUGUUUCUUCUAGAGAAAGAUGAUCCAGUCUCCCUCAUCCAUGUUGUAUAGUUUAAUGCUCCAAUGAAUUCAUAUACUUCAAGGGGUUGUUUGAUAAAGUUUUAACAGAUUUGAUAAAAUUUGAUCAAAAUUAUAGUUAAAUAGUUGAAGUAAUUGGGAUACACGAAGUUUGAGUUAUGCAAAUGCACACUAAAGCUAAAAUUGUCAUUUGUAAUUGCUGUUACAUGUUUCAUUUGUGUUUCAUUUGCAAUAAAAAUAUCAAGGACUAGUGGAUGGAUAUGCUGGAAAUUUGUAUAUGAAAUUGGCUUUGACCAAUUCUUAAUUAUUAAAUGGAAAUUGUUAUUUGGUGAAUAAAAAAUUAAAUCAAAUUUAAAUCAUUUAAAUACGUGAAUUAUUGAAAAAUCACGUAGAAUAUUAUGAG